GAUGAACGCUAGCGGCAGGCUUAAUACAUGCAAGUCGAGGGGCAGCAGCUUUAUAGCAAUAUAGAGGCUGGCGACCGGCAAACGGGUGCGGAACACGUACACAACCUUCCUUUAAGAGGGGGAUAGCCCAUAGAAAUGUGGAUUAAUACCCCGUAACAUAUCGGUGUGGCAUCCCACUGUUAUCAUAGUUUCGACGCUUGAAGAUGGGUGUGCGGCUGAUUAGGUAGUUGGCGGGGUAAAGGCCCACCAAGCCUUCGAUCAGUAGCUGAUGUGAGAGCAUGAUCAGCCACACGGGCACUGAGACACGGGCCCGACUCCUACGGGAGGCAGCAGUAAGGAAUAUUGGUCAAUGGACGCAAGUCUGAACCAGCCAUGCCGCGUGAAGGAUGAAGGUCCUCUGGAUUGUAAACUUCUUUUAUAGGGGGCGAAAAAAGGGAAUUCUUUCUCACUUGACAGUACCCUAUGAAUAAGCACCGGCUAACUCCGUGCCAGCCGCCGCCGUAA
Molecule: ribosomal RNA, 504 nt
Filed under: uncultured bacterium
Lineage: Bacteria
Description: partial 16S ribosomal RNA
Rfam family: Bacterial small subunit ribosomal RNA
Source: RNAcentral